UACAGAGGGGGCAAGCGUUAUUCGGAAUUAUUGGGCGUAAAGGGCGCGUAGGCGGCUUUGCAAGUGACGGGUGAAAUCCCUCGGCUUAACCGAGGAACUGCCUGUCAAACUGCAUGGCUUGAGACCGGGAGAGGUGAGUGGAAUUCCCAGUGUAGCGGUGAAAUGCGUAGAUAUUGGGAGGAACACCAAUUGCGAAGGCAGCUCGCUGGGACGUCACUGACGCUGAGACGCGAAAGCGUGGGGAGCAAACAGG
RNAcentral lists this ribosomal RNA (253 nucleotides) under uncultured bacterium. RNAcentral describes it as "partial 16S ribosomal RNA". It matches the Rfam family "Bacterial small subunit ribosomal RNA", at positions 524 to 776 of the family's 1533-position model. The record is from RNAcentral.